Molecule: long non-coding RNA, 1012 nt
Organism: Brienomyrus brachyistius
Lineage: Eukaryota; Metazoa; Chordata; Actinopteri; Osteoglossiformes; Mormyridae
Exons: 2
Source: RefSeq, a predicted model, not a curated record
GUACAAAAGGGUGCACUGGCAACUCUUCCUCAUUCUUUAUUUUCCGAGCGGCCAGAGGGAGCAGGCUGCUGAGCUGGUCGGAGGCAGAGGAGAGACUGAGGCGCCGGGCUGCGCGGCGCUGCCCGUCAAGCGGAGUUCUAUGAAAUGGGAAUUUGAUCAAUAGCCCUACUACAGGCAAAGCAACGGCAGGAAUGACUUUAUAAAAAUGAUAAGAAGGAGCUCUGUGAAGUCUUUUGCCCAAGAUACAAAAUCAUUUUCUUACUCCAUCUUUCCUGCAAUACAUUAAUGACGAAACUCCAUGAGACUGAAGAUCCCAGCUGGAACUUCGACGGACACUUAGACCAGGUUUCGGCCGGUUCUUUUGCGUUCGGCUUUUGCUCCAGUGCAAAAUUCUCAUGGUAGCUGGUUAAAUUACAGUAUUCAGGACUGACGCUGUGACUUCUGCAAACUGGAAUCGCGUCACUGUGCUACAAGUAAUUUGUUUGGAUUAGUCGGCCUGGUCCAGUAUUGUUUUGGUCCAGAAAGCAGGAGGACACCAGUUUGUAACCUGGAAACAGGAGGAUCAAGACCCUUAGAUCCCCCUGCCGUCAUCUUAAGAAAUGCACUGAAGCUGACUUUCCCCAGGAAAAUACAUGUCUGAAUAUUUCACAAGAUAAAUGUAAGUUGCCUUGAGAAAAAAAAGAACAUCAGGGAGCUAAAUAAAUUGCUUUGGAUGUUCACCCUGCCGCUGUGCACCUACGCUGUGUCUGGGAAAGGCUGUCUGCAGUCUCUCCUAGCUGUGCCAGAAUGUGCCCAUUCAGCGUGGAACUGGCCAUGGAAUGAGUUUCCAAUGGAAACGAUGACUCUGGAUUUUUCUCAGCAGCCAUGGUGAGAAACCGUUGUCACGCAACUUGCUCUGAGGAAAGUGACCUUCUGCAACCCUGUGCAGGACAAUGAGGAAGUGCUGGUGUUUAUCUCAUUAAUGUUCAGCAUUCAUAACCCAAAACUCAAAAAUAAAGUCAAAUUUACUUCC